AUUUGGAACCUCCUACCUACAAACAUGUUAGAGCUAACGUGUGGGCUCCUUACUUCCUGUUUUCAACAUUUUGCUACCGUGGCUUACUGCGGUCAGCAAUACACUACAACUGUUGGGAGAUGUUGGAUGGGCUGACGCCAGUGAAACGAUCCACCUGUUGUGCAUGCUGUUGAUGAAGAAGAUGGGGGUCUGAGUCACACACAUGAGGAAGUCUGUUAACGCCAGGACCUGAGCCCUAGGACCAUGCCUCAGGACUACCUGGCAUGAUGACUCCUUGCUGUCCCCAGUCCACCUGGCCAUGCUGCUGCUCC
Molecule: long non-coding RNA, 311 nt
Organism: Salmo salar (Atlantic salmon)
Lineage: Eukaryota; Metazoa; Chordata; Actinopteri; Salmoniformes; Salmonidae
Source: RefSeq, a predicted model, not a curated record